This 20602-nucleotide long non-coding RNA is filed under the name Citrus sinensis (sweet orange). Its description in RNAcentral is "long non-coding RNA (CSIN_LNC001526)". Lineage: Eukaryota; Viridiplantae; Streptophyta; Magnoliopsida; Sapindales; Rutaceae. The record is from RNAcentral.
AAAAAAAAAAAAAAAAUGUCUCGUAUCCAUUUAAAUUGGCCAGAAUUUAGUUAUAUGCUGAUUUGAACUUUUGCCUGGCCCUCGCAAUCCGCACAAGCAGUUCAUCUCUGGAUAGAUACUGUUUCCAGACUAGUAAAAUUAUCAGCACUCCGCAAAAUCGGAAACUCAAGUAGUUAAUAAUAUACACACGUGUCAUAUAUUUGUUAUACAUAUAAAUAUAUAUACCUCUAUACAAAUUGGCUGGACUAGUUCUCUUCAAUUGAGAAAAAAAAGAAAGAAGUAAUAAUAUAAUAUACAGGGGGGUCUCAACUCAACCAGGAAUUGAGUGAGAUCGAUUAGGAAACUUGAGGCGGAGGUUUACAUGGUAAGUUUGGCGUUGAGUGUUGGAAAAGAUAGCAUGACCACGAGCAAAGGCAAAGGAACCAGUGCCUCCAACCACAGUUAGUUCCUCAUUCUCUUUGUGAGCAACGUCGUUUGCCUGAACGCUGAGACUUCCAGAAUAAUGGGGAGUAUCAAACGUCAGGUAAAUAAUAUUGAAUGCCGAAUGGGCAAACUGUUCAAUCGGCACGAUGAAACCUUGAGCUUUUCCAACCGACCGAGAAGUUUUCUCGGGUCCCUCUGUAAGGGUAUGAUGGAAAACAAAUGCUCCAGCGCCGCUAAUCUGUGCCACCGAUGACUGCAUGUCUGAGCUUGCAAUUUGGGGUUGCUGAAUAUACAGGGACAGAGCCAUCGAAGGACUCUUUGAGGAGUGAUUUCUGCGCGCCGCGGGGGAAAUCAAAGCCAAGAGAACCACGGUUAAUGUGGCCAAAACAACUGCAACACAGAAUAUAAUCCUGGGGAGCAUAAUGCAGCUGUUCGAUAUCUUUUUCUGUCUGAUCGUAUUCUCAACAUUACGUACCUUUUAAUACGACAUUUCCGGUUGAAAGUAACCUGCUCCUCAACUGUCUUGUUUUGCUUUUGGCCAACCAAUUCACUUCUUUGAAAGCUGUACCUAACACACGUAUCAAAAUUUAACUGCAAAUUAAAGUUCAAUAAGUCGUAUUUUUAUAAUCAAUUCUAAAUUUAACGAUGAUUAAUUUAAAUUAAAUAAAAAAGUGAAUAAUUAAUUUAAAUUAAAUAAAAAAAGUGAAUUAUGGAGGAUGACUUCCCCACUCCUAUUUCAUAUUUUCUUCAUCGAUUUUUCUUUUACUAUCCUAAACUAUUAUAUGCUUAAAGUAAUACCUCACAGUAAAAGCUAGAGGGUAAUUUGCUUUAUUUGUAUCGAAGAAUCUUCAUCUUAUCUUUCAUAUUUUGCGGCCAUCGCCUCAAUCUACUGAUACUCAAGUGUUUGUUAAUCGAUGUUACUAGUUCAACUGAAGCUCAUUGUCAGCAGUGUCGGCAUGACGUUCUCUUCUUUUAUCACCGUACACCUAAACCACGCAUCUUUCAUUUCAGUCAUUGAAACUCGCUAGCUUUUGAGUUCGCAUUAUCCUUUACUUUCUCUUUUUGCGAGGAUUAGACCUUAAACACUAAUUAAGAUUUUUUUUUUUUUUUAGUAUUUAUUUUAAGAAAACUGGAGUCUCAUUAUCGUAAAAGUUAAUUACAAUUCUAUCCAAACUUGAUCCCGGGGUUUUUAAUGCAAGUUCCGCCAUGUGAUUUUGGUACAUAAUCCACUUCAAAAAGAUUCUUAAAAACUCCAAACUUGAUCCCCAGGGCUUUUAAUGCAAGUUCCGCCACGUGAUGUUGGCACAUAAUUCACUUCAAAAAGAUUCUUCAAAACAAAUGCUUGACACGAUCAGUAUUCCACCCCACUUCUGCUAACGCUGUUGUUAAUAAGAUGCACCGUAUCCAUGGCAUCGGGUUCAACAAUUGCAGGAAUUAAUCCUGUUCCAAUGGCCAGUCACAAGCCUUUUCAGAAUUGCAACAGAAAUGAAUCUUGCGAACGGAAGCAGCCGUUAUUUCACCUUUUUCAUUCUUCAUGAGAACGCCAAUACACAAGACAGCCGAGAUAAAAAUUUAACAUUAAAAGCGCGUGGAUACCACAAUCUAGAACCAGACCUCUCCUGAGUCAUUCUUGGCUCUUCCAUCAAGCCACAUCUGAAUAUCCAUUUCCCAAAUUCAAAAUUCAUCCUUUGAAGUUUCCAUCUAAUUCAUCCUUUGUGUCCGUAGUGGGUGAGCAGCUGGAGAACUCUUGAUAUCCAUGAUACAGCCAAAAGAAGUUCCCGACUUUCUUAACAUUCUGGCAAUAGUCACAUUGAAAGCAGACGGUUUGAAAUGAUAUUCCUUUGGAUCGAGAAAUGUCGUAAGGCCCGUUCGAAACUACAAGGGCAUAUAUUGAGUCACGCUUUCUUCUCAUAGAAUCUCAAAGGAUCAAAUGCCAAAUGUCAUGCCCUAUUUAUAGGGAGGCUCGCCAAGCUUUAGGGUUAUAGAGAAUUCUACCAACUUGCCUAAAUAUCUAGAUAUUUACAUGUACUAGAAAUGUGUAGAGAAUUCUACAUAUGUACAAGCUUGAAUUGUGCUAGAUUUAGCUAGAAAGCCUUGAGUGCGUCCGUCUUCACGACUGCGGGAUGGCUCCGGUGGAACAUACACACCAACAACACCCUCUUCUGCUGGGUUUGGAGGGUUGGCCAUUGCAGUGCGCAAACGGACUGGCCGUUUAUUUUCGCACUCAUGUACAUGAGCCCCUUCUUGGUGAAUGCGGGCCGUUGGCGAUUGAGUGCGCCAAGACGUUGGAGAGAACCCAUGUUAGCUCGUCUCUACGUUGUCCGUCAUGAUCGUGAAGUGUGAGCCAAGUAAGUAAUGUCGCCAAAUUCACAAGCAAUGGAUGAUGGCUGGCAAAAAUCAAACCACUCUAUGCACAGUGCCUGCAGCAUGUUUAUCAACAAUAAAGUAAGCGAAAACAGAGAUCUAAGGAGCAGCAUUUAGUAGCAGCUAAUAAUCACUUAACCAUACCAUAAAAGUAAAUCAACACCAAAAAGUUCCAAGAACAAUCCUCCAUCGCCGCAAGAAAAGCCUAGAUAAUUGCAAUUCAUUAUUCACAGAGACAUGCAUAGAUGAGUGAAACAAGAAAAAAGACUAGACAACCGGUGAGCAAAUGCUUAUCCCAAACAUAUAAAAAAUAAUGAAUUACUGCAAGAGAAGUUAAGAAACUAUUAUUCUUAUUCAGUAAUGGUACAGGAUGCAUAGAUGAGUGAAACAAGGAAAAAGACUAGACAACCUAUAAUAAAUUACUGCAAGAGAAAUUUAGAAACUAUAAUUGUUAUUCAGCAAUGGCAUAGGAUACAUAGAUGACUAAAACAAGGAAAAAGACUAGACAACCUGUGAGCCCAAACAUUCCAAAAACCUCCAAAAACAAGUCAUCAACAUCAGCACUCUGUUCACAUGGUCGGAAUAACCAACAAUGACGGAGCACCAGAAUCAGUGCAACCACAGAAUGCAGGAGGAGUUGACGGGUCUAACUCAACUAAGCAGAAAAUAAUAAAUUAGCAGUAGAAGCUCAACAGCAUAGCAUUCCAUAAUUUUACCACAUGGAAAAUGCUAAUUGCAUAUACGAUAACAUAUCCCUUCACUGCAUAAUUUCAGCAAACUUAUAAAUUUGAGACCACCCCAGACAGACAAAAGAACAAAGUUACAAGCUUAAAAAACUGGAAAACAAGAAUCUGAGAAACAAGGCAACCACUUAUCGAAUUGGGAAAGAAGCAAACCAGGCGGUAAUCCUCACAGAAGUCAAGACUCUUUCUGUACCACAAGUUCGCAAAAUGAAAAGAUCAGACUAAGAUUGAGCCUAAAAGGUAUUGACAGAAGCAAGAAACUUAAGCAUGCUCAGGGGUUUUUUGAUGAGCUUUUGGGGUUUUUUGAUGAGCUUUUGUCCUUUAACCAUUUUUCAGAUAUUCCACAAAUCAAAAAUGAAAGAAACAAGCCAACCACUCAUCGAAUUGGGAAAGAAGCAAACCAGGCGGUAAUCCUCACAGAAGUCAAGACUCUUUUUCUGCAGUACAAGUUUGCAAAAUGAAAAGAUCAGACUAAGAUUGAGCCUAAAAGGUAUUGAAUAAAGGACAAAAGCUCAUCAAAGACCCCCUGACCGUGCAUAUUUCAGAUAUUCCACAAUAUUCCACAAAUCAUAAAUGAAAGACCAAGUUACCAAAUGUAUUUCGUGCAUUCAGCCAACGAAAGUAAUAAACUGGGUAAAGAACAAAAAUGGGUUUAGUAGCACAGUCACAAUAGUCCACAAAAACAUAGAAAUGCUGUCCCCACAGCAUAGCUUUCGGAGUAGAAAAGCAAAUUAGAAUUUGAACUUUUAGGACACAUGGGCACAAGUAGGAGCAAGAAAUAAUAAAAAAGAACUAAAAAGCUCAAUAUACACUAGAGUAACAUGUUCCAAAAAUCCUUUCAAAACACAGGAACAUCUCUAAAUCUGCGGCACUAAAAAUGGGAGAGAAAGAAAUGGACUAGCAUACUAUCUGAACUUUAAGUGCUUGGGUAGCAUAGGUAGAAAUGAGAAGUCAGUUAAGAGAUGAAAACACGCAAAUCCCUCAAAAUAAAUAGCCUUCACAUUCCUCAAAAAUUUGAAACACACUGCCACCACUGCAACAAAAUUUGGCAAAACAAAUAACAAAAUUAGAAACACGCUGCCAUCACUGCAACCAAAUUUGCAACAAAAUUAGAGACCCCCUGUUCAGCAGAGUCCCAGUUGUUACACAAAAGCAAGAAACCUCUCACUAUCACUGCAACAUAAAUUUGCACAAAUGAUUAACAAAUUACAAGUUGAUUUUAUGUGUCUAGACAGGUGGAAAGAGAAGUAAUAAACUAGAAUAUUAAAAAAAAAAAAAAGACUAACCAAAUUACAAGUUGAUUUUACGUGCCUAGACAGCCACAAAGAGGAGUAAUAAACUAGAAAGAAGAAUAGAAAAAAUGCAAUUAAAUGCCCGAGUGGUAGAAUGGUUGACACUCCUCAAAAACUAAGAAUAUUUCUCAAACACAGCAACAAAAAAUUGCAAAAUAUGAAAAGACCAAACAUACACAAAUUUCUAAAAAAACUCACCAGAAGCCAAGUAGCAAACUCCCAAUACUCCUCAAGAACUAGGAUCGUUUCUCUACAGCAGUAUAAAACUUUACAACAGGGACACGACCAACAUUCACACUGCUCUUGAAGGAUCAUUCCUCUACAGCAGUAUAAAACUUCACAAUAGGGAAAUGAUCAACAUAGACAGGUCUUGAAGGAUCAUUUCUCUACAGCAUUAAAAAAUUCACAACAGGGACAUGAUAUAGUGCUCUUGAAUUGUCGCACAGAUCAUACGCUGCUGUACCGUACAUCCGCCUUGGCCGUACAGCAGAUAACUAGAAGUAUAAAAAAUCUUGCCAAAAUAUUUACUGAACCCACGAAUGUAACUUGCUUUCUCAUAACUCAGCAACAAAGACACCACCACCAAAUCUCGCAUCCAUAAUAAGAUACAAAACCAAAGCAAAAAUGAAACAUUUCUUCUUCAUGGACGACAUUGCCAUUUCCACUCUUAUUAUUUCUCUUAAACUACUUUUCUUUUCCUGUUCCUUAAAAUGCAGAGACAAGUAAGAAUUCCAAUUCCAGGCAGGCGAUGAUGCAAGUUCCAAGCACUCACAAAGGGCUUUCGUGGAUAAGUUUCUCAAUCAAAAUCAAAUUAAAUCAAAAUCAAAUUAUUGGUGAGUGAAUUUUAUUUUAUAUAUUACCUCUCCUGCCUAAAUAAGAUUCUUGUGCCUCAGCAUUAAGUCCGCUGCCAAAUCCGACCCGGAGCUUGAACUUUACUUUGUUGGUACUAAACUCGCACUUGAUGGACAGUUUGAGAGCGAAGCGGACAGAUCUAUGACUUCAAAAGCCUUAUCCUAACGCGCCACAGGGCAAUCUCCCAGAAUUACUGAGAGAAUACCAAAACUUCCCCUAAAACUGCAGCACAAAAUAUGUAAGAAUAAAAAGCUGUAAAAAAUAGCAGUUCAAAUAUUCAAAUAGGUGCAGAUAAAAAAUACAAGAAAUAAUGUAGCGCGGUCCCAAUACUCAAAAACAUUUUGCCAUCACUGCUCCAGAGAUGUGCAAGAAAAUGAAAGACAUUAAACUAAAUUUCAAGGAUUCAGUAAUGAAAGGGAAACAAAAGCAUGUUGGAAAACCCCCUUAAAAAAAAAAAAUUAGUCCCACACUCCUCCAUAACUCUGACCUUAUCUAUCAUUGCAUGAUAAAAAUUCUAACAAGGACACAAACAAAAUACUAUGAAAGCUUGGGUUAAAAACUGACUAUAGACACUCCCUGAGUUGCACAAGUCCGUAUAUUGAACUAUUCAAAACAUCUCCUCUCACACUGCAAUAAAAGUUUGCAAAAAUGAAAGAGAGCUUAAGCGUUCUUCCUUAUAAGAAUUACUCAAAACAUCUCUUCACAAAAGCCAAAAAAGUUUGCAAAAAUGAAAGAGAGCUUAACCAUUCAAAUAAGACAAAAUAUUACUCACAAACAGUCUUAAGCAUUCAAAUAAGACAAAAUAUUACUCACAUACAGUCUGCUCUAAAGCAUUCAUAGAUAGAAGAAAAAAACUAAAGAGAGGUUUUGGGGCGGGGGGAGCUCAUUACAGAGACCCCACGUAGCAAAGUCCAGAUACUCCACAUAAACUACGAACUUUCCAACAUCACUGCAACAAAAAUUUGCAGAAAUGAAAAACCAAAACAUAACCUCAACAUUAUAGUAUUCACAAAGAGAGCCAAAAGCAAAGAGAGAGAAUGGAAGUGUCAAUAGAAACCCCCUGAAUAGGAAGAUGCCCCAAAAAUAUAAAAAUAAUCCUGGAACAGUUUGCUCUCAUUCGAACAUGCAAAAGUGAAAAACCAAAUCACAAACGUUAUAUAUUUAGACUCAACCCAACGCAGAAACAAUAAAUUAGGGAAAAGAAUAAGGAACUUAUCAGACACCCCCCAGAGUAGCAUAGUCACAGUAUUCCACAAAAACUAAGCUUUUCCAAAUCACUGUAACAUAAAUUGCAAAAGUGGCAGGAUAUUAUAAUGGAACAUAAGUAAUCAGUCAGCUAGACAUAAAAAAAAAAUAAUAACAAUAAUAAAGUGUAGCACUAAAAAUACUCAUGAGCAGCCCCCAUAGCAAUGUCCAGAAUUACUCAGAAAACACGAAAACUUUGCUAAAGCUGCAGCACAAAAUAUGCAAAAAUAAAAAGCUGAAAAAAAAAAUAAAAGCUUAAAUAUUAAAAUAGGUGCAGAUAGAAGGGAGAUAACAGGAGAAAGAAUGUAAGUCAUCACAACACGGUGAGUAACACUGUUAGUUGGCCCCAAUACUCGAUCAUGUUUUGCCACCACUGCUCCAGAGAUUUGCAAAAAAUGAAAGGCAUAAUUAUAAACUGAAUGUUAAGGAUUCAGUUAAGCAGAUGUAGUAGACACAAACUACGAAAGGGACUAGCAUCAAAAACCCCCUAAAUAAAAUAGUCCCACACUCCCGAGAGCUCUUUCUCUAACACUGCAUUUUAAAGAUGUUAAAAAAUGACACAAUUACAAGGGAAAUACUAAGAAGAAUUCUGGUGAAAAAUUCACUAUCGACACUCCCUGAGAUGCACAAGUCCUAAUGUUCAACAACUCAAAACAUCUCCUCACCCUGCAACAAAAACUUGUAGAAACGAAAAGAGCUUAAGCAUUUAGGUAGACAAAAUAUUACUAACAUACAAAAAGAAUUAAGCAUUCAGGUAAACAACAUAUUACUAUUACUAACAUACAAAAAGAAUUCAAAGAUAAAAGGGAAAAACUAAAGAGAGGUUGGGGAGUAAAAGGAGCAUUACAGAGACCCCAAAUAGCAGUGUCCAGACACCCCACAUAAACCAUGAACAUUCCAACAUCACUGCAACAAAAAUUUUGAAAAAUGAAACAUAACUGCAACUUUAUAGUAUCCAGAUACAAAGCUGAAAACAAAGAGAAAGAAUGGAAGUGUCAAUAGAAACACCCUUAGAAGAAGACGCCCCAAAAAUAUCAAAAUAAACCUGGAACAGUCUGCUAUCACUCAAACAUGCAAAAAUGAAAAAAAUCACAUUAUAUACCAUAUAUAUUUAGACAAAACCUGACACAGAAACAAUAAAUUAGGGACAAGAAUAAGGAACUUAUCAGACACCCGAGAGUAGCAUUGUCCUAGUAUUCCACAAAAGCUUAGAAAUUCACUGUAACAUAAAAUUGCAAAAGUGGCAGGAUAUUGUAAUGAAACGUAAACAAUCAGAUGGCCAGAAAUUAACAAGGAGUACGACUAAAAAUACUCAUGAGCAACCCGUAUAGCAAUGUCCCAGAAUUUAGAAGACACCAAGACUUCCUCUAAAACUGCAGCCCAAAAAAUAUGCAAAAAUAAACAGCUGAAAUAAAAGAAAAACUUAGAUAUUUAAACAGGUGCACAUGGGAGGAGGUAAUAGAAGAAAGAAUGUAAAUCAUCAAAACCUCCGGCGUAGCACGGUUAGCUAGCCCCAAUACUUGAUAACAUUUUGACAUCAUUGCUCCAGAGAUUUGCAAAAAAUAGAAGACAUAAUUAUAAACUCAGUUUUAAGGAUUCAGUUAUGUAGAUGUAGUAGAAAUGAACUAAGAAAGGGAAAGGAGAGCACCCUAGAAAACCCCCCUGAAUAAAUUAGUCCCACACUUCUCCAGAGAGCUGACCUUCUCUACCACUGCAUUAUAAAAAUUUUAAAAAUGACACAACUACAAGGGAAACACUAUGAAAAGCUCAGGUUAAAAACUCACUGUAGACACUCCCUGGCACAAGUCCUAAUACUGAACAACUCAAAACAUCUCCUCGCACUGCAACAAAAGUUUGCAAAAAUGAAAGAAGCUUAAGCAUUCAGAUAAGACAAAAUAUUACUAACAUACUGAAAGCAUUCAUAGACAGAAUAGGAAAACUAAAGAGAGGUUUUGUUUUGGGGAAGGGGGGACCAAUUACAGAGAUGCCAAACAGCGAAGUCCAGAUACUCCAUACAAACUAAUGAACAUUCCAGCACCACUGCAACAAAAAUUUGUGAAAAUGAAAAACCAAAACAUAAACUCAACUUUUUGUAUUCAGACAGAGAGCCAACAACAAAGAGAAAUAGAAACCUCCUGAGUAGAAGAAGCCCCAAAAAAUAUCAAAAUAAACUAGGAACAGUUUGCAAUCACUCAAAUCAUGCGAACAUGAAAAAAACCUUGUAUAUUUAGACACAACCUGACACAAAAACAACAAAUUAGGGAAAAGAAUGAGGAGCUCACUAGACACCCCAGAGUAGCAUAGUCCCAGUAUUCAGAUAACACAAAACAUUACCAACAUACACAGAGCAUUCAUAGACAGAAGAGAAAAACUACAGAGGUGUUGCAGGGGGCAAAAACGCAUUUACAGAGACCCAAAUAGCAAAAUCCGCAUACUCCACAUAACUCAUUAGAGAGACCCCAAAUAGCAAAGUCCGGAUAUUCCACAUCUACGAACGUUCCAACAUCACUGCAACAAAAAUUUGCAAAAAAGAAAAACCAAAACAUAACCUCAACUUUAUAGUAUUAAGAUAAAAAGCCAAAAACAAAAAGAAAGAAUGGAAGUGACAAUAGAAACCCCCGAGUAGAAGACGCCCCAAAAAAAUCAAAAUGGAUUCGGAACAUUUUGCUGUCAUGAAAAAACCAAAUUAUAAACCUUAUAUAUUUAGACACAUCCUGACACAGAAACAAUAAAUUAGGGAAAAGAAUAAGGAACUUAUCAGACACCCCCGGGGUAGCAUAAUACCAGUAUUCCACAAAAUCUUGGCCCAAGUAGCAUAGUCCCAGCAUUCCACAAAAACUAGGAAAUUCUCCAAAUCACUGCAACAUAAAUUUGCAAAAGUAGCAGGACAUUGUAAUGAAACGUAAGUGAUCAAACAGUUGGAAAUAAAAGAAAUUAACAAGGAGUAGGACUAAAAAUACUUGUGAGCAACCCCCAUAGCAAUGUUCUAGAAUUAUCAGAAGGAAGGAAAUAAGAGAGAGAAUGCAAGUCAUCACCACCCCGUGUGUGGCACAGUUAGCUAGCCCCAAUAAUCGAUAACAUUAUGCCAUCACUGCUCCAGAGAUUUACAAAAAAUAGAAGAUAAAAUCAUAAACGAAGAAUUCAGUCAUGUAGAUGUAGUGGAAAUAAACUAAGAAAGGGAAAGCAGAGCACGAUAGAAAACCCCCUGAAUUAAAUAGUCCCACACUCCUCGAGAGAGCUGACCUUCUCUAACACUGCAUUAUAAAAAUUUUAAAAAUGACAAAACUACAAGGGAAAUACAAUUGACACUCCCUGAGCUGCACAAGUCCUAACAUUGAACAACUCAAAGCAUCUCCUCACACUGCAACAAAAGUUUGCACAAAUGAAAGAGAGCUUAAGCAUUCAUAUAAGACAAAAUAUUACUAACAUACAGAAACAUUCAGAGAUAGAAGGGAAAAACUAAAGAGAGGGCCCUCAAACCCGGGAGAGGUCUUUUUAGAUUUAUCUAAAUCCUCACUUCACCUACACCACUACUUGAGAAGAAAGACACUGCCUCACUCAGAAAAAAAAGAAAGCAAGAGAUAUUCAAAUAGAAUAGCGAGAGUUAACGUUCUUCCUUCUGCUGUACGGCCAAGGCGGAUGUACGGUACAGCAGGAGACCCCAAAUAGCAAAGUCCGGAUACUCCAUAUAAACUACUAGCUUUCCAACAUCACUGCAACAAAAAUUUGCAGAAAUGAAAAACCAAAACAUAACCUCAACAUUAUAGUAUUCAGAUAGAAAGCCAAAAACAAGAGAGAGAAUGGAAGUGUCAAUAGAAACCCCCCCGAAUAGGAGAUGCUCCAAAAAUAAAAAAACAAUCCCGGAACGGUUUGCUCUCAUUCGAACAUGCAAAAGUGAAAAACCAAGUUACAAAUGUUAUAUUUAGACACAACCUGAUGCAGAAACAAUAAAUUAGGAAAAAGAGUAAGGAACAUAUCAGACACCCCACGGUAACACAGUCCUGGUACUCCACAAAAACUUAGAAAUUCUCAAAUCACUGCAACAUAAAUUUGCAAAAGUGGCAGGAUAUUGCAAUGAAACGUAAGUAAUCAGAUAGCCAGAAAUAAAAGAAAUUAACAAUAAGUAGGACUAAAAAUAGUCAUGAGCAACCCACAUAGCAAUGUCCCAAAGUACUCAAAAGACACCUAAACUUCCUCUAAAACUGCAGCACAAAAUAUACAAAAAUAAACAGUUGAAAUAAAAUAAAAACUUAAAUAUUUAAACAGGUGCACAUAGAAGGGUGGUAAUAGGAAACAGAAUGUAAGUGAUCAAAGCCCGGUGUGUAGCGCGCUUAACCACCCCACAUACUCGAUAAUAUUUUGCCAUCACUAAGCUCCACAGAUUUGAAAAAAAUAGAUGACAUAAUUAUAAACUGAAUUUUGAGGAUUCAGUUAUGUAGAUGUAGUAGAAAUGAAAUAAGAAAGGGAAAAAAGAGCACGCUAGAAGACCCCCUGAAUAAAAUAGUCCCACACUCCCCUAGAGUGCUCACCUUCUCUAACACUGCAUUAUAAAAAUUUUUAAAAUGACAACUACAACGCAAUUUCUAUGAAAAGCUUGGGUUAAAAACUCACUAUAGACACUCCCUGAGUUGCACAAAUCCUAAUAUUUGUUGCACAGUCUCCUCGCUGCAACAAAAGUUUGCAAAAAUGCAAGAGACCUUAGGCAAUCAGAUAAGACAAAUAUUAACUAACAUACUGAAAGCAUUCAUAGAUAGAAUAGAAAACCAAAGAGAGGUUGGUGAAAACUCAUUACAGAGACCCCAAAUUGCAAAGUCCACAUAUUCCACAUAUCUACCAACGUUCCAACAUCACUGCAACAAAAAUUUGCAAAAAUGAAAAACCAAAAUAUAACCUCAACUCUAUAGUAUCCAGAUAAAGUAAAAAACAAAGAGAAUAAAUGGAAGUGUCAAUAGAAACCCCGAGUAAAAGACGCCCCAAAAAUAUCAAAAUAAAUUCGGAACAUUUUGCUAUCACUCGAAACAUGCAAACAUGAAAAAAUCAAAUUAUAAACCUUAUAUCAGACACAACCUGACACAGAAACAAUAAAUUAGGGAAAAGAAUAAGGAACAUAUCAGACACGCCAGUACUCCACCAAAACAUAGCCCCAGAGUAGCAUAGUCCUAGCAUUCCACAAAAGCAUAGAAAUUCUCCAAUCGCUGCAACAUAAAGUUUCAAAAGUAGGGGACAUUGUAAUGAAACAUUAGCGAUCAGACAGCUAGAAAUAAAAGUAAUUAACAAGGAGUAGGACCGAAAAUACUCAUGAGCAACCUGCAUUGCAAUGUCCAAGAAUUAUCUGAAAGGAGGUACUAAGAGAAAGAAUGCAAGUCAAAAUAUUACUAACAUACGAAAAGAAUUCAAAGAUAGAAGGGAAAAACUAAAGAGACGUUGGGGGAGAAAAAAAAGCAUUACAGAGACCCAAAGUAACGAAGUCCGGAUACUCCACAUAAACUAUGAACAUUCCAACAUCACUGCAACAAAAAUUAGCAAAAAUAAAAAACCAAAACAUAACCUCAACUUUAUAGCAUUCAGAUAGAAAGCCAAAAACAGGGAGAAAGAAUGGAAGUGUCAAUAGAAACACCCGGAGUAGAAGAUGCCCCAAAAAUAUCAAAAUAAACCUGGAACAGUUUGCUAUCACUCGAACAUGCAAAAAUGAAAUAACCAAAACAAAACCUGGCACAGAGAAUAAAUUAGGGAAAAGAAAAAGGAACUUAUCAGACACCCCAGAGUAGCAUAGUCCUAGUAUUCCACAAAAACUUAGAAAUUCUCCAAAUCACUGUAACAUGUUACAGAAGUGGCCGGACAUUGAAAUGAAACGUAAGUAAUCAGACAGACAGAAAUAAAAGAAAUUAACGAGUAGAACUAAAAAUACUCAUGUGCAACCCGCAUAGCAAUGUCCCAGAAUUACUUAGAAGACACCGAAACUUCCUCUAAAACUGCAGCACAAAAUAUGCAAAAAUGAACGGCUGAAAUAAAAUAAGAACUUAAAUAUUCAAAUAGGUGCACAUAGAAGGAAGGUAAUAGGAGAAAGAAUGUAAGUCAUCACAACCCCAUGUGCAGCGCGGUAAGCUAGCCCCCAUACCCGAUAAUAUUUUGCCAUCACUGAGCUCCACAAAUUUGAGAAAAAUAGAAGACACAAUUAUAAACUGAAUUUUAAGGAUUCAUUUAUGUAGAUGUAGUAGAAAUGAAAUAAGAAAGGGAAAGGAGAGCACGCAAGAAAAACCCCCUUAAUAAAAUAGGUCCACAUUCCUCCAGAGAGCUGACCAGCACGCUAGAAAAACCCCCUGAAUAAAAUAGGUCCACAUUCCUACAGAGAGCUGACCUUCUCUAGUUCCAGAAAAAUAGAGGACAUAAUUAUAAACUAAUUUUAAGGAUUCAUUUAUGUAGAUGUAGUAGAAAUGAAAUAACAAAGGGAAAGUAGAGCACACUAAAACCCCCAGAAUAAAAUGGUUCCAGACUCCUCCAGAGAGCUGACCUUAUCUACACCGCAAUAUAAAAAUUUUUAAAAUGACACGGGAAUUUCCAUGAAAAGCUCAGGUUAAAACUCACUAUUGAGUUGCACAAGUCCUAAUAUUGACAACUCAAAACAGCUCCUCACACUGCAACAAAAGUUUGCAAAAAUGAAAGAGACCUUAAGCAUUCAGAUAAGACAAAAUAUUACUGACAGACAGAAAGCGUUCAUACAUAGAACAGAAAAACUAAAGAGAGGUUUUGGGGGGAAGGUGGGGAAUCAUUACAGAGAACCCAAAUAGCAAAGUCUGGAUACUCCACCUAAACUACGAACAUUCCAACGUCACUGCAACAAAAAUUUACAAAAAGGAAAAACCAAAACAUAACCUCAACUUUAUAGUAUUAAGAUAGAAAGCCGAAAACAAAGAGAAAGAAUGUAAGUGUCAAUAGAAACCCCCGGAGUAGAAGACACCCCAAAAAUAUCAAAAUGAAUUCGGAACAUUUUGCUGUCAUGAAAAAACCAAAUUAGAAACCUCAUAUAUUUAGACACAACCUGACACACAAAAAAUAAAUUAGGGAAAAGAAUAAGGAACUUAUCAGACACCACCAGGGUAGCACAGUCCCAGUAUUCCACUAAAACUUAGAAAUUCUCCAAAUCACUGUAACAUAAAUUUGCAACAGAGGCAGAACACUGUAAUGAAAUGUAAGUAAUCAGACAGUAAUCAGACAGCUAGAAAUAAAAGAACUAACAAGGAGUAGGAUACUCAUGAACAACCCGCAUAGCAAUGUCCUAGAAUUACUCAGAACACACCCAACACUUUCACUAAAACUGGUAGCACAAAAUAUGCAAAAAUAAAAAGCUGAAAAAAAUGAAAACUUAAAUAUUCAAGCAGCAAGAAAAAGAAUGCAAGUCAUCAAAACCCCAUGAGUAGCGCUGUUAGUUAGCCCCAAUACUCGAAAACGUUUUGCCAUCGCUGUGCCAGAGAUUAAAAAAAAAAUGAAAGACAUAAUUAUAAACUGGAUUUCAAGGAUUCAGUUAAGCAGAUGCUGUAGAAAUAAACUAAGACAAAGGAUAGCAUGCUAGAAAACCCUCUAAAUAAAGUAGUCCACUCCUCGGGAGCUUUGACCUUCUCUAACACUGCAUUAAAAAUUUUAAAAUUGACAAAAUUACAAGGGAAAUACCAAGAAAAGCUCCCCACAUUAGCCUAAUAUUCAAUGACUCAUCUUACACUGCAACAAAAAUUUGUGGAAAUACAAAAAUUUGUAGAAAUGAAAGACAGCUUAAGCAUUCAGUCAGAUAAAAUAUUAGUAACAUACAGACUGGUCUAAAGCAUUCAUAGAUAGAAGAGAUAAACUAAAGAGAGGUAAGGGGGAAAAACACAUUACAGAGGCCCCAAAUAGCAGAGUCCGGAUACUCCACAAAAACUACGAACAUUCCAACAUCACUGCAACAAAAAUUUGCAAAAUUGAAAAACCAAAACACAACCUCAGCUUCAUUUCGGAGGGACAUAGAUGGAAGCCGAAAACAAAGAAAAAGAAUGGAAGUGUCCUCAGGAAGCCCCAGUAAAGAAUGCCACAAAAGUACCACAUAAACUCGGAACAUGUUGCUAUCACUCAAACAUGCGAAAAUGAAAACCAAAUUACAAACCUUAUAUAUUUAGACACAACCUGACACAAACAAUAAAUUAGGGAAAUGAAAACAUAUCAAAUACCACAGAGUAGAAUAGUCCCACUAUUCCGCAAGAACGUAGAAAUUCUCCAAAUCACUGCAACAUAAAUUUGCAAAAGUGGCAGGACAUUGUAAUGGAACUUAAAUAAUCAAGCAGCUAGAAAUAAAGAAUACUCAUAAGUAAUGUCCUAUAAGUCAUCAAAACCUUGUAUGUAAUGCGGAUAGCUAGCCUGAAUACUUGAUAACAUUUUGCCAUCACUGACUGCUGCACAGAUUUGGUAAAAAUGGAAGACAUAAUUAUAAACUGAAUUUUAAGGAUUCAUUUAAGUAGAUGUAGUAAAAAUAAACUAAGGAAGGAAAAAGGAAAGCAAGCUAGAAAACCUCCCCCAAAAAUAAAAUAGUCCCACACUCCUUGAGAGCUCCGACCUUCUCUCUAACACUGCAUUACUAAAAUUGACACAAGGGAAAUAAUAUGAAAAGCUCAGGUGAAAAACUCACUGUAGACACUCCCUGAGUUGCACAAGUCCUAAUAUUGAACAACUCAAAACAUCUGCCCACACAGCACCAAAAAGUUUUUUGUUGCAAAAAUGAAAGAGCCUAAGCAUUCAGAUAAACAAAAUAUUACUAACAUACCAGUCUGCGCUAAAGCAUCCACAGGGGGGGGGGGGGGGGAGUUGGGGGACUGAUUACAGAGACCCCAAAUAGCAGAGUCCACAUACAUUAACAGUAUUCAGAUUAAAAGCCAAAAACAAAAAGAGAGAAAGGAAGUGUCAAUAGAAACCCCGAGUAGAGGAUACCCCAAAACACCACAUAAACUUGGAACAUUUUGCUGUCAAAACCAAAUUAUAAACUUUAAAUAACACAACCUAACACAAAAACAAUAAUUUAGGGAGAAGAAUAAGGAACUUAUUAGACACCCAGACUAGUAGUAUCCCAGUAUUCCGCAAAAACAUUGACAAUCUCCAAAUCACUGCAACAUAAAUCUGCAAAAGUUGCAGGACAUUGUAAUGAAACGAAAGUAAUUCGACAGCAAGAAAUAAAAGAAUUAACAAAAAGCAGCAUGAAAAUACUCAUGAGCGACCUGCAUAGCAAUGUCCAGAACUACUGAGAAAACACCAAAACUUCCUCCAAGACUACAGCACAAAAUAUGCAGAAAUAAAAAGCUGAAAUAAAAUAAAAACUUAAAUAUUCAAAUAGAUGCAGAAGAAAAGAGGUAAUAGGAGAAAGAAUGUUAGUAAUCAAAACCCCGUGAGAAGCGCAGUUAGUGAGCCCCAAUACUCGAUAAUAGAUGUAGUAGAAAUAAUUAUAAACUGAAUUUUAAGGAUUCAAUCAAGCAAAUGUAGUAGAAAUAAACAAAGAAAGGGAAAGGAGAGCACGCCCCCCAAUCAAAACAGUCCCACACUCCUUGAGAGCUCUGACAUUCCCUAACACUGCAUUAUAAAAAAUUUUAAAAUUACACAAUUACAAGGAAAACACUAUGAAAAGUUCGGGUAAAACUGCGACAGAAGUUUACAAAAAUGAAAGAGAGCUCAAGCAUUCAGAUAGUCAAAGAAGCCAGAAACAAAAAUAAAAAUAAAAAUGGAAGAAUAAUCAGAGAACCCAACUCGUGAAUAAGCCCUGAUUUUUCUCAAAAAACCUAGAAGAUUUUACCAUCACUCCAACAUAAAUUUGAACAAUCAGAAGACCAAAUUAGAAAUUGAACUAUGUAUUUAGACAGCAUAAGCAUAAAUAAUAAACUUGAAACAACAAAAAACUGUAAAGACACUCCCGUGCGGCAUAGUCCCAGUACACCUCACAAGCAGAAAUGACAUCACUGCAACAAAACUUUGCAAGUGAAGGCCAAUUUUAAUUUGGGAAUUUAGAUUGGUAAAAAUAGAAGAAAAAGAAUAGGACAAAAGACUAGAGCAACCUCAUUAGAAAAAAGAGGGUAGAAAAGAAAGAAAUACAACUUCUUUAAUAAGCACAGAUAUAAGCAAGAAACUAAGAGACAAACACUCAUCAGACAGCCCCAAAUAUUGAGUAUGGAUAGCCACAAUAUUCCUCAAAAAUUCACGCCAUAUUGCCAUCACUGCAACAAAAUUUGAAAAAAUGAAAGAAAAGAUUAUAUCUUGAAUUCACUCAAGACAUCUAGGGUAAAACGGACCACUAACCUUUCACAGCAACAAAGAAUUAAAGAAGUCAAAACUGCUAACAGAUCUUAAACAUAGUAGACCCCUCAUCUUUCACUGCAACAAAGAAUUAAAGAAGUAAAAAAAUACAACCGAUCUUAGGCAUAUUCACAAAGGAAAUGAAAACAAAGAGAAGAUCGAAAAACUCAUAACAACCCCACCCAAGUGGCAAAGUCCCAAUAUUCCUCAUAAACACCAAUUAAUUCACAUCAAAGCAACAAAAUUUAUAAACUGAGAGGUAUAACGGGAUAAAUAAAAGCCAAUAGUUUAAUCACUCCCUGAAUAGGCAGCCCAAUAUUCCUUAUAAACUUGGAACGUUUGAAUCUCAACAUCAAUGCAACCUAAAUGGCAAGAAACAAACAUGAAAAUGCAAAUUGAACUCAUGCACUUUUAGAAAACCAGACUCAAGAGCAGCAAACAGUGAGGAAGAAUCCAAAAUCUCAUUCACCACCCCUGCCCUGCACAUAGAGCAGAUUAUAAUUUGUAAAUUUGUAGUUUCGGUAUUCAGGUAAGCAGAAAUAGAAGCAAUGAUAAACAACAAAAAGAACUGACAUACUCAAUAGACGCCUGCUGAGUAGCAGAGAAUUCCUAAAAAACUCCAUACGCCUCUCUGAAGAUGCAUCACAAAAAUUUGCAAAUAAAAGACUAAAUUACAAUCUGAAUUUAACAUUGCUUGGUGAGCAUAUAGACAGAAGGGAAAAACUGGCAGAAAGAAUUGGAGAGAUCAGACAACCACUGCAUAGUGUAUAGUCUGCCGCAAUCAAAACUUGAAACAGUUCACCAUCACUGCCUCAGAAAUUUUGAAAAAAAAAAAGAUGUUACUAGACUUAACUUAAGGAUUCAUUUAAAAAAAAUACUGGAAAACACGCUAGAAAACCCGCUGAGGUAAAAUUGUCCAAAUACCCUACAAACAUUUGGAACAUUUUACCUACCGCUGCAAUGAAAAAUUGCAGAUUAUAAGACCAAAAUACAGCCAGAUCUUAAGGAUUCAAAUGUGGAAUUAAUAAACUAAGAAAAGAUCUAAUAGCUCGCUUGAUUUGCAGAUUCCAAUGCUCCUCAAAUACUUGGGACUAUUUCUCUAACACUGCAACAUAAAAAGUAACAAAAAUGACAACUCAUACAAGCUAUUAAGUAUUAACAGAAGUGAUCAACUAAGAAAAGGUUGGAAACCCCCAUUAUAAACACCCCAAGUAGCUGGGUCCCUAUGCUCCAAAACACGGCAUUUCUCUUACCACUGCAACAUAAAAUUUGCAAAAUCAUGCAAAUAAAUUACAAUAAACUCUUUUAAGUAUUGAUAAAGUUGAUAAACUCAAAAAUGACAUAAAUAAAAUAGAACUCGUUAUAGUCACCGCAGGCAGCAUCCCAACAUCCCAUAACAAUUGGGAACAAUUCUGCCUCACCGCAACAAAAAAUUUACACAACACUACCGUACCAUGAUUUAACUGAACCAACAAAAUUGCAGGUUUCUCAGAGAAUCCAAAAUAUUGAUGAACAUAUCAAAUACUUGGUUAAUAGAUAAACAUGAAGCAAAAGAAACACAAAAAUAUUAAAUCACGCCCUCUUGUUUACUGCUUUGGUAAAUCAUCUUCCUGUUGAAUGUUCAUCGGUGCCCUCUACAAGAUUGAUAUUUUCACAAGUUAUGGGAUGACUAACGUGGCACUACCUAAGACAAAUGGCAAGUUUGUACAAAGCAAUAUAUCUCACUUCGACAAAACCAAGAACUUGAGAUGAAACAAAUGCAGUCCAAGGAAUUGAUUAUUAUAUAUCAUUAAACAAAAAUGUUUACCCAAUCGCAAUCCAACAAACUCAUAGACAAUAAAUUUUCUUUAACCUCUGCGUCCAACAACAAACAUAAACACCAUUACAAAAAUCUGAUACAAAAAUAUAAAUACCAUUACAAAAGUGUGAUACAAAAAUAUAACAACAAUAAACAAUAAUUAACAAAAGGGACAAGCGCACGACCAUUCAUCCUGUAAGCCACAUGACUUGCCAAACUAGUCUUCAAGUGCCCAUAUUUCAAGACUGAAGAUGAGACAAUUGUUGAAUAAAGGAGUUACAAGAAAGAUCUGGAACAUGAGAUGUGUCCACAACAACAGAAACCAAAAGUAUACCACAAUUGCUCAAAAAAGAUGUCACAAGAAGUUCAAGACAUUGACAUGCAUCCACUCAAUUGUUGAAUAGAAGUCAAAAAAAUUCAAUACUGAAACAGAUUGCCAUGUCCACAGCAACAGAAACUGAAAAGUUGAGAAGCAGCAUCCAUCUACCAUUCUCUGCAAUCAAAUUGAAACAGAAACUGGGUAGAAGGACUAAAACCACAGGAGAGGGAAGCCCGCCGAAAAAAAAAAAAAGGGAGAAGGGGAAAACAAGUCCUGGAGAAAUAGCAGUUCCAAUAUUUGCCCGUCAACCCAGGUGCACUCCCAAUAGUAUAUAACCAAGCAAACCAUGUGGAGCACAAAACUGGCUCAUUAAAGAGAUCCACCAAAGAGAAAAUAGUGGAAAAUAAAUGCACAGGAAAAGCUCGCCAGCAUUAUGUUCCUUAAACUUCGGCACUGCUUCUAAAGAUACUAAAAAGUUCAAAACUCCAAAGUGUCUGAACAUAAUAAUUAAGUGACUCCCUCAUGCCCCCUUUCUGCUUCCUCCUCUAUUGAUUCCAUGACUGCUUGAUUCCAGCAGCCUCUCAAAAGUAAUCAACAACAAAUAAAAUCAGCUUUGUGUCUCCUAAUAAUCUUUACAAUCCCAUGGGCAAUCUCAAUUGGCAGACUUCAACAAGAACUUGGCAAAAAUGAUUGACCAGACUACUAAAGGCAAAAUAUCUAAAAUAUUUACCAUUAGGAACCCCUUGAAAGCAAUAGUCAUAUACUGUUAUCAUCAUCUUAUAAUAAUGACUGUAUGUUAUUCAAAACAAUCAAUAUCUUUAUAUUAUCAGAUGAUUGGACUAUAACCCUUAGCCAUGAUUUCUAUCAAAGCGCCUCAAAAAUCCACAAUUAAGAAGUCAGAGAAAUCACCGAUCAAUACAAGAUAAUAUCACGAUCGGACCUCGGCAAAGAUUGGCACAAAUUCAGUAUUCUGUAACCAAGAAUUGAACAAGGAAUAAAACAAUUCAGCGCAAAUCAAGUAUCAUCCAAUACGAUACAUUGUCACCGAUAACUCAAAAACAAUCUUCACACUCGCAUGCAAUAAAUUAAUUACCAACAACCCUAAUAACCUGACAAUCCUCUUUAAUGAACAAAGAAGAGAUAGUUUAGCGCAAACCAAUAACACCUUCCUCCCAAACAGAACCAGAAACACCCCAAGGAGACCGAGAAAAUAAAAAAAUAUAUAUAUAUACACACACACUAGCGCUCAAAGCUACGGGACCGC